RNAcentral lists this ribosomal RNA (468 nucleotides) under uncultured bacterium. Its description in RNAcentral is "partial 16S ribosomal RNA". It matches the Rfam family "Bacterial small subunit ribosomal RNA", at positions 28 to 507 of the family's 1533-position model. The record is from RNAcentral.
GACGAACGCUGGCGGCGUGCUUAACACAUGCAAGUCGAACGGAAAGGCCCUGCUUUUGUGGGGUGCUCGAGUGGCGAACGGGUGAGUAACACGUGAGUAACCUGCCCUUGACUUUGGGAUAACUUCAGGAAACUGGGGCUAAUACCGGAUAGGAGCUCCUGCUGCAUGGUGGGGGUUGGAAAGUUUCGGCGGUUGGGGAUGGACUCGCGGCUUAUUAGCUUGUUGGUGGGGUAGUGGCUUACCAAGGCUUUGACGGGUAGCCGGCCUGAGAGGGUGACCGGCCACAUUGGGACUGCGAUACGGCCCAGACUCCUACGGGAGGCAGCAGUGGGGAAUAUUGCACAAUGGGCGGAAGCCUGAUGCAGCAACGCCGCGUGCGGGAUGACGGCCUUCGGGUUGUAAACCGCUUUCGCCUGUGACGAAGCGUGAGUGACGGUAAUGGGUAAAGAAGCACCGGCUAACUACGUG